UGUCAUGGGAGUUGGCAAUGCUUGAAGUCCGUGGGCUGACCCCGAGUAAUUGGGGAGGCAGCGGCCGAGGGCAGGGCCAGCGACUGGGACG
This 91-nucleotide ribosomal RNA is filed under the name uncultured bacterium. RNAcentral's name for it is "partial 16S ribosomal RNA". The record is from RNAcentral.